UUCGAAUCGGUUAUACCAAUGGCGGGUUAAUAAUUUCAACUAUUUAAAUCAUUUUUGUUAAUUUCCAAGUGAAAAGUUAUCUGGAGCCUGGAGUAUGGAAACAUAUGUGUAACUCAACACCUCAUGGAAUUUGGAUAAGAAUCAACCCGCCAUUUGGGAGAAACCAUAAGAUGAAGUCAUAGCCCCUUCUUUGACCACCUAGGGAAACCACCACAGCCACAGUCAAGUCAACAUUGGGAGUAAGUCAUUUUUGGGAACAAGCUUUUUGGGAGUAUUCCAGCUCCUUUUCUUCCUGCCACCUGGGCCUACGGAGGGCAUGGGACCGCAUCAUCUUGAUGCUCAUUUCUGAGGAUGCAGCAGCAACCUCUUUAGGAGUCGUUUGGGAACAUUUAGUGUUGUGUUUUAAGUAACUAUGGUUUUUAUAUAUCAGACAUUUAUUUGAUACAUUAUGUUUAUUAAUUAUUUUUUUCAGAUUUAGCGUACCUUUGUUUUUAUAUGACAUAUUUGUAUACUAUGGUAUUUGGUUCCCAAACUUUGUAUCUACGGUAACUUCUUGUGCACAGGAAUAAGCCUAGAGAAAAUUAGGUUUUUAAUACUUUAUUAUUGCUUUGAUAUUGGUUUAUGUAAUUCGGGUAAAUUUAUUUUUUAAUAUUACUAGCUUGUUUCCCAAAUAUUUUACUGUUAUUCGCUUUAUUCCAUUUGUUCGGUUAAUUUAGGUCAUCGUCGGUAUUUAUCUCAACUUCAUUUCUACUUUAGUCAAUUGUAUAUUUAACUUUAUUUAUUCAUUAUUGUAUUUUCCCUUAGUGAGGCUUGGGCCUAUUUAUUUGUAGUAUUUUCAUCUUUGUCAGUUUCCUUUAGUUGUACGUAGCAGGCGUACUAUAACCAUUUGGUAGAAGACUUAUGUAAUUUUGUACCCUAUAUGUUAGUGAGAGGUACUUAUACCUGUAAUUUUGUAACAGAUAACAUUAUUGUUGUUAUCUUAGAGAUAACUUUUUGUAUAACUUAUGUCAUUUUAGAGUCACAUGAUAUACACUUUGUGUAACUCAGAGAUUGUCAAAAAUCUAGUAGUUAUUUUUAAUAAAUAUGUAUUUAUUUUGUA
Molecule: long non-coding RNA, 1099 nt
Organism: Diabrotica virgifera virgifera (western corn rootworm)
Lineage: Eukaryota; Metazoa; Arthropoda; Insecta; Coleoptera; Chrysomelidae
Exons: 2
Source: RefSeq, a predicted model, not a curated record